RNAcentral lists this ribosomal RNA (455 nucleotides) under Staphylococcus aureus. RNAcentral's name for it is "bacterial SSU rRNA". It matches the Rfam family "Bacterial small subunit ribosomal RNA", at positions 20 to 464 of the family's 1533-position model. The record is from RNAcentral. Lineage: Bacteria; Bacillati; Bacillota; Bacilli; Caryophanales; Staphylococcaceae.
UGGCUCAGGAUGAACGCUGGCGGCGUGCCUAAUACAUGCAAGUCGAGCGAACGGACGAGAAGCUUGCUUCUCUGAUGUUAGCGGCGGACGGGUGAGUAACACGUGGAUAACCUACCUAUAAGACUGGGAUAACUUCGGGAAACCGGAGCUAAUACCGGAUAAUAUUUUGAACCGCAUGGUUCAAAAGUGAAAGACGGUCUUGCUGUCACUUAUAGAUGGAUCCGCGCUGCAUUAGCUAGUUGGUAAGGUAACGGCUUACCAAGGCAACGAUGCAUAGCCGACCUGAGAGGGUGAUCGGCCACACUGGAACUGAGACACGGUCCAGACUCCUACGGGAGGCAGCAGUAGGGAAUCUUCCGCAAUGGGCGAAAGCCUGACGGAGCAACGCCGCGUGAGUGAUGAAGGUCUUCGGAUCGUAAAACUCUGUUAUUAGGGAAGAACAUAUGUGUAAGUAA